Molecule: non-coding RNA, 118 nt
Filed under: bovine gut metagenome
Description: FMN riboswitch (RFN element)
Rfam family: FMN riboswitch aptamer (RFN element)
About the family: The RFN element is a highly conserved domain that is found frequently in the 5'-untranslated regions of prokaryotic mRNAs that encode for flavin mononucleotide (FMN) biosynthesis and transport proteins. This element is a metabolite-dependent riboswitch that directly binds FMN in the absence of proteins.
Source: RNAcentral
CUUCUUCGGGGAUGGGUGCAAUUCCCUACCGGCGGUAUAGCCCGCGAACUGAGAUUGAAAACCUCAGCCGAUCCGGUGAUGAUUCCGGAGCCGACAGUACAGUCUGGAUGAGAGAAGA